CCUACGGGGGGCUGCAGUGGGGAAUAUUGGACAAUGGGGGGAACCCUGAUCCAGCCAUGCCGCGUGUGUGAAGAAGGCCCUCGGGUUGUAAAGCACUUUCAGUGAGGAAGAACGCCUGGUGGUUAAUACCCAUCAGGAAAGACAUCACUCACAGAAGAAGCACCGGCUAACUCCGUGCCAGCAGCCGCGGUAAUACGGAGGGUGCGAGCGUUAAUCGGAAUUACUGGGCGUAAAGCGCGCGUAGGUGGCUUGAUAAGCCGGUUGUGAAAGCCCCGGGCUCAACCUGGGAACGGCAUCCGGAACUGUCAAGCUAGAGUGCAGGAGAGGAAGGUAGAAUUCCCGGUGUAGCGGUGAAAUGCGUAGAGAUCGGGAGGAAUACCAGUGGCGAAGGCGGCCUUCUGGACUGACACUGACACUGAGGUGCGAAAGCGUGGGUAGCAAACAGGAUUGGAUACCCCAGUAGUC
This 465-nucleotide ribosomal RNA is filed under the name Vreelandella stevensii. RNAcentral describes it as "partial 16S ribosomal RNA". It matches the Rfam family "Bacterial small subunit ribosomal RNA", at positions 338 to 795 of the family's 1533-position model. The record is from RNAcentral. Lineage: Bacteria; Pseudomonadati; Pseudomonadota; Gammaproteobacteria; Oceanospirillales; Halomonadaceae.